This 1388-nucleotide ribosomal RNA is filed under the name uncultured bacterium. RNAcentral's name for it is "bacterial SSU rRNA". It matches the Rfam family "Bacterial small subunit ribosomal RNA". The record is from RNAcentral.
GAGUUUGAUCCUGGCUCAGGAUGAACGCUAGCGGCAGGCUUAACACAUGCAAGUCGAGGGGUAACAGAGAGUGCUUGCACUUUGCUGACGACCGGCGCACGGGUGCGUAACGCGUAUGCAACCUACCUUCUACAGGGGGAUAGUCAAUAGAAAUGUUGAAUAAUACCCCAUACGAUCUUCGAGAGGCAUUACUUGAAGAAGAAAGCUCCGGCGGUAGAAGAUGGGCAUGCGUCCUAUUAGUUAGUUGGUGAGGUAACGGCUCACCAAGACCGCGAUAGGUAGGGGCCCUGAGAGGGGGAUCCCCCACACUGGUACUGAGACACGGACCAGACUCCUACGGGAGGCAGCAGUGAGGAAUAUUGGACAAUGGAGGCAACUCUGAUCCAGCCAUGCCGCGUGCAGGAAGACUGCCUUAUGGGUUGUAAACUGCUUUUAUACAGGAAGAAACCUACUUACGUGUAAGUAGCUGACGGUACUGUAAGAAUAAGGAUCGGCUAACUCCGUGCCAGCAGCCGCGGUAAUACGGAGGAUCCAAGCGUUAUCCGGAAUCAUUGGGUUUAAAGGGUCCGUAGGUGGUUUAUUAAGUCAGAGGUGAAAUCCUAUCGCUUAACGAUAGAACUGCCUUUGAUACUGAUAGACUUGAGUUAUUGUGAAGUAGUUAGAAUGUGUAGUGUAGCGGUGAAAUGCAUAGAUAUUACACAGAAUACCGAUUGCGAAGGCAGAUUACUAACAAUAUACUGACACUGAGGGACGAAAGCGUGGGUAGCGAACAGGAUUAGAUACCCUGGUAGUCCACGCCGUAAACGAUGGUCACUAGCUGUUUGGAAAACAUUGGUUUUUUGAGUGGCUAAGCGAAAGUGAUAAGUGACCCACCUGGGGAGUACGCUCGCAAGAGUGAAACUCUAAGGAAUUGACGGGGGCCCGCACAAGCGGUGGAGCAUGUGGUUUAAUUCGAUGAUACGCGAGGAACCUUACCAGGGCUUAAAUGUAAGUUGCAUGGACCAGAGAUGGACCUUUCUUCGGACUACUUACAAGGUGCUGCAUGGUUGUCGUCAGCUCGUGCCGUGAGGUGUCAGGUUAAGUCCUAUAACGAGCGCAACCCCUAUCGUUAGUUGCCAUCGGGUCAUGCCGGGAACUCUAACGAGACUGCCGGUGCAAACCGUGAGGAAGGUGGGGAUGACGUCAAAUCAUCACGGCCCUUACGUCCUGGGCCACACACGUGCUACAAUGGCCGGUACAGAGAGCAGCCACUACGCGAGUAGGCGCGAAUCUUCAAAACCGGUCUCAGUUCGGAUCGCAGUCUGCAACUCGACUGCGUGAAGCUGGAAUCGCUAGUAAUCGGAUAUCAGCCAUGAUCCGGUGAAUACGUUCCCGGGCCUUGCACACAC